RNAcentral lists this ribosomal RNA (588 nucleotides) under uncultured Funneliformis. Its description in RNAcentral is "LSU rRNA". It matches the Rfam family "Eukaryotic large subunit ribosomal RNA", at positions 204 to 637 of the family's 3401-position model. The record is from RNAcentral. Lineage: Eukaryota; Fungi; Glomeromycota; Glomeromycetes; Glomerales; Glomeraceae.
CAUGGAGGGUGAGAAUCCCGUUCAUGGUUAAUCUUAAGGAAGCUCUACGAUACGUUUUCCAAGAGUCGAGUUGUUUGGGAUUGCAGCUCAAAAUGGGAGGUAAAUUUCUCCUAAGGCUAAAUAUUGGCGAGAGACCGAUAGCGAACAAGUACCGUGAGGGAAAGAUGAAAAGAACUUUGAAAAGAGAGUUAAACAGUACGUGAAAUUGUUGAAAGGGAAACGAUUGAAGUCAGUCAUACCAACGGGAAAUCAACCUUUUGAGCUUGGUCUCGUGGGUUUUGAAGAGUUUCAAAGCCUUCGGAUUCGCGAGAUUGGGAUCUCUUGGUGUACUUUUUCGUACGGUUAGUCAACAUCGGUUUUGAAUGUCAUAAAAUGACUGGAGGAAUGUAGCUUCGAUCUCGUAUUGAAGUGUUAUAGCCUUAUGGUAGAUGUGAUGUUUGAGACCGAGGAUUGCAACGGAUACCCUUCAGGGCUAUUCGUCUGAUCUCUGAUACGUUGCCUUGACGUCGAAAGCUCGCUUAUGAUGUUAGGGUAUUACGGUCAAAAGGUUAGAACGAAUUACAUUCGUUAAGGAUGUUGACGUAAUGG